Tympanuchus pallidicinctus (lesser prairie-chicken) is the source of this 3919-nucleotide long non-coding RNA. RefSeq lists it as uncharacterized. The transcript has 2 exons. The record is from RefSeq and is a predicted model, not a curated record. Lineage: Eukaryota; Metazoa; Chordata; Aves; Galliformes; Phasianidae.
GGUUGGGGAUGUGCUCAAAACACUGACAAAGUAUGUCUGUACAAGAUUCCAGUUGUGGAGGCACCAGCAUAAGAGGUGCCACUCUCUCACUCCUUUCCAGACUGGGACAUUUUGCAGCUUCAGGGCUUCCUGAGCUGAAAGUUAAUCUGUAACUUCUUGUUUAAUAGCCCUUGAUGGACUUCUGCCAAUUUGCUUAAAUAUUUGUACUGCGGGCCCUUUGGAUGCCCCGUUGUGAGGAGUGACGAAGCUGGAGAUGUAUUUCAGCAAUGCUCUGGAGUCUCUGUUUUUCCUGAUGCAUUACAUUUUUGUGGUUGCUUCUAAGGCCUCCCACAUCCCCGACCUCUCUGCAGGAGCAGCACCUCUGCAGGCAGCCACCAAGGACCUGCUGUGCAAACUGUUGAGCUAGUGCUGGGGCUUGGCAUGGAUCCCACAAGGCUCUGCUUGACAAAAGUAUGUUCUCAGCUGUGCCCAAAAACAGCACAGCUCAAACAACCACGCCAAUCCUUCCCUGCUGCGUUGUUUUCGCUCCACUUUCUCCUGGAUAUCUGCUGGGAGACUCACAUGUGUCCCAUCCUGAUGUCUACCUGGGCGGGUCCAUCCCUUGUGUGUGCAGAACAGAUGCUCUCCCAGCUCCCUCUCCCCUGCGUGUUCCCUCUUUUUUUUUUUUUUCUUCUUUUUUUUCUCCCCACUAUUCAGGAGCUCAGGUUAUUUUAAUGCAGUAAACAUUUUUUUUCUGACAGUUAGUGACAUGAAUAAAUCCGUUUCCUCUCCUCUCUCUACUUUUUGUUAUUUAAAGGGAGAAAAUGAUUAAAUCCAGCAGAGCCAAGCUGAAUUUUGCUAGCAGGAAAAGGGCGGCCAAUGAGGGUCUGUCUGUCAAGCAGCAGUUUGUGCUCAUCAGCAUCUUGGGAGAAGCAGGGUUGCCAGCUGCCUGCGAACAUCUGGUUCUGGUUGUACCCCACCCCCUUUGCUUUGCUUUACAUUGUUUCUCUGGUUUUAUAGUUUAUCAUUACUGAAUCUAAGUGUAGGAUGUGACAAGGGAAACAGCUUAGAUUCCUCUCUUCUACUUGAGCACCAGAAUGCGGGGGCACAGAUUGAACAAGGGGCAGCCAGAGCCAUAAAAAACAUCCGUGUGGUAGCAGGUUUCUUCAGGAAAAGCUCUUUCUGCUCUGCUAAUGUGAUGCCAGCCAGAGGAUGCACAGGAGGGGAAGCCAAGGAUGCGUGGUUCUUGGCCUCGGUGGCAUGGAAACAUAAGCGGUUAUAGCAGAGGAAACCGUGGUAGAGUUAAUUGUCACAUUUAAAAGGUGGAAUUGAAUGGCAGCACUUUGCAGUUAUUGGAGUUAACUUUUUCAGCUCCCUGCUGUGCCAUAAGGAGCUGAAUGUGGGAGGAGCAGGCAAAAGCGGGGCUGCCUUUGGCUGCCCUUCCUAUCCCUGAGCUUCCAGGCUGCAGGAAAGAUGUUUGGGAUGGAAAAACCUCCGAGGGUGGUGCAGGGUGGCACAGUGGCUGGGUUUGGUGAGUUCCUCUGAGCAGCACCUUUGCUGCUCAUGGAGGAUGCAGAAGUGUUGAGUCCCAUCCUCAUAUUCUAUCAAUUCUGAAGGUGCUCAUUAUGGUUGAUGAAGCAAGGGCCAAAUGUGCUGUGCUCGUGGUUGUCCAGCUUGGCUUCACUAGCGUACCCUGAAGACCGUGGCUCAGCAUCGCAGUGGUGAGGAUCCUGCGGCGUGGAGUGAUGGGGAUGGGUGAUACUGAGGGAGGAAAAUUCCCAGUAAUCGUAUUUGGUGUCUGGCUGUACCUUGCUAGAGGGGAGUUCUGUUCUGCUAAAAAGCACGCAGCAGACAUGUGCCAAAAGGAGCAGAUUGAUGGAGAAAACAGAGCAGACUCCUUCUCUCAGCAUCAAAACAGGGCUCCUGGCCUCACCUGCGUGCAUCCUGGUGCCUGUAUUUCACUGGGAUGGGUUGUGCCUCCAGAAAAUAGAGGAUGACUUGCAAUAUUUCAGGUUUUCCUGAAGUCCUCCUUUCGCCUGCCUGUCUUUUUCCUUCUGUCUUCUGUGCUUCCGAUGACUGACUUUAUUAUCUUUGCUAUUUCCAACCCUUUUUUUAGUCUCCUCCGGAGCUUGCUUUCUGCUGGGGGGGAAGAUGGAAAAGGUCAGACUCUCACUAGUGAAGCUUACUUAAUUUGCUUGCCACAUCUAUGUGCAAACUUGCAUGCAUGUUGGUGUGAAGGACCAGGACCAGCAUCGAUGCAGGCCAACGGCUGCUUUUUUGUUUACCUCCUCUUUUCUUUUCUGUUUUUCUUUUCUCCCAUCUGGCCCAAUAUUCCCACUUUCACCUCUUCUACAAGAGAAGAGCUUAGUGGACUCCAAACAGUAAAUAAAGCUGACAUUUGCAGCAGGCAGGCUGAUGCAGCAGGACAGGGAUGCAGCCGCACUCUUUGUUUGGACUUCUUUCCUCUCUUUAUUUAAAGCCUCUUUUAAUCAGGAGCUAAUGACAACUUUUGGUUGUCAGAGUGGAUGCACAUGAAAAAUAAAACCAACACCACAGUUUGCAUUCAAAAUAACGAAAACCGUUAUAAAUAGGAAGAUCUGCAAGGAUAUAAUCAAGCUAAAUUGCCCAUUGUUGCUCUCACUGUAGAUGAUUUCUUGUCUCUGCAAUCUGGGUUGGGUUGUCUGGGUUUGGGGAAGACGUCUUCUCUCUUUAUCACUGUUACAAAUCCAUGCAGCAGCAUCUGGUUGAUAGUAGUUUUAGGGUGUUUUGGUGUUUUUUCUUUUUUGGCAUGUGUGUGUGGAUCAAGCAAAUCUUUGGGUGACCUGGGUGUUUCUGGUCAGAUUGUCAAAUAGCCCCUCUCUUUCUGCAGCUAAACUGACCCUAAAAACAGACCAAUCUCCUCAGGGAGUAUGCUGCAGACAGACAUGGAGAAGUGCAGCAACAGGUUGCAGCAGCAGCCUGCCAGCAAGCAGCUCUGACUGGGGAAUAGCAAAACUCUCUUUGCCUGCAGAUGGUGUGCAAUGAGCUCGCGAUGCUAAUGACACCACGCAAUUUACCCUAUUGAAAGUAGCUGAGCCUCUAUAGAAUUUGGAGCUGAUGCUGAAGUCUCCAAACAUAUCUUAAGGCAUUUGAGACUUGGGUGUUUUUUGUUCUAGUCUUCCUCAUGUGUGUUUACAUGAAUGCAGGAUAAAAGCUGCUCGCUUUGUUGUGCUUUUAUAGCAAUAACGCAUUGCAGGGACAGCUUAGGAAUUGGGUGGCAGCAUUCUGGCUCUUUGAUUUUUCUAUGCAACGUCCCUGGUUUUGUAUAGUUGAGCUGCUUUUCACUGGGCACUGCUCUGAGAAGUGCAGAUGUCAUCGGUACCUGACAACGUGACAAAGCUGUCACGGUUAUGUAAGGCAAGCAGCACUGCACAGUGUCACCUUUGUCCCCAAACAGUCUUUUGCUCAUCUGUUCUGCAUGUGGCUCUCUCUUGGAGCAUUUUCCCCUUUGCUUCACUGCAUGCAGAGCAACAAAUGGUCGCAUCCUGAGGGUUCCUGGCUGGAACUGUGUCCAUCAUUGGGAGUCAUUUUUCUGCUGCUGUCCUUCCAGCUGUGGGUGUUAUGCUGGCAUCUGUAUGUGAAAGAUGAAGGUUUGUGGUCUGACUUCAUGCCUUGCUCAGGAAACUUCCCCCUCAGCCCCCUCACCUCCAGUUGUUUGGCUGAGACUCAGUUCAUCUUUAUUGCUAUUUUUCUGAUUUUCCUCCGGGCUCCUAAUGGCUGUGAUUAUACCAAAUGCAGAGCAUUUCGUGUACUGUAGGAAUGAUUUCCAGGCCCAACUGCCUUACUCAAUGCUUGAGGAUCAUUAAAGACAUUACUUUUUAUAAGCCAGUUUUUUUUUUACCUGCCCCAAUCUACUUCCAAUUCUAUGCUAACCUGCAAAGUAAUAAAAUUGCUGAAUUUA